UUGUGAUAAUAAUGAUGCCAUAGCACUUGCUAAGGAAUCGAGAUCUCAUCAAAAAUUCAAGCACAUAGAGUGAUGAUUCCAUCUCAUUCAUGAACACCUCGAGAAGAAGUUCAUCAAGGUGCAGAGAGUCGACUCCAUAAAAAAUAUGGCUGACCCACUGACCAAGUCGCUGAGCCAAAAGAAAAUUGAAGCUCAUCUUAAGAAGAUGGGGUUUAGGUUUAUGGCCAAUUGACUUUAGAUCAAAUAGAAGUUUGUUAGAUGUAUGUCCUAAAAGUCAGAUUGACUGAUAC
This 290-nucleotide long non-coding RNA is filed under the name Elaeis guineensis (African oil palm). Its description in RNAcentral is "long non-coding RNA (EGUI_LNC034645)". Lineage: Eukaryota; Viridiplantae; Streptophyta; Magnoliopsida; Arecales; Arecaceae. The record is from RNAcentral.